Molecule: ribosomal RNA, 492 nt
Filed under: uncultured bacterium
Lineage: Bacteria
Description: partial 16S ribosomal RNA
Rfam family: Bacterial small subunit ribosomal RNA
Source: RNAcentral
AGUGAACGCUGGCGGUAGGCCUAACACAUGCAAGUCGAACGGCAGCACAGUAAGAGCUUGCUCUUACGGGUGGCGAGUGGCGGACGAGUGAGGAAUACAUCGGAAUCUACUUUUUCGUGGGGGAUAGCGUAGGGAAACUUACGCUAAUACCGCAUACGACCUACGGGUGAAAGCAGGGGAUCUUCGGACCUUGCGCGAUUGAAUGAGCCGAUGUCGGAUUAGCUAGUUGGCGGGGUAAAGGCCCACCAAGGCGACGAUCCGUAGCUGGUCUGAGAGGAUGAUCAGCCACACUGGAACUGAGACACGGUCCAGACUCCUACGGGAGGCAGCAGUGGGGAAUAUUGGACAAAGGGCGAAAGCCUGAUCCAGCCAUACCGCGUGGGUGAAGAAGGCCUUCGGGUUGUAAAGCCCUUUUGUUGGGAAAGAAAAGCAGCAGGUUAAUACCCCGCUGUUCUGACGGUACCCAAAGAAUAAGCACCGGCUAACUUCGUG